UCUCACUGAUGAGUUGCUUCUGACUUUCAUUCUUCUGAGUUUGCCGAACCCAGAUGCCAUUCCUGGGAAGG
This 71-nucleotide small nucleolar RNA is filed under the name Nomascus leucogenys (northern white-cheeked gibbon). RNAcentral's name for it is "Small nucleolar RNA SNORD59". It matches the Rfam family "Small nucleolar RNA SNORD59". Rfam says of the family: U59 belongs to the C/D class of snoRNA which contain the C (UGAUGA) and D (CUGA) box motifs. Most of the members of the box C/D family function in directing site-specific 2'-O-methylation of substrate RNAs. Lineage: Eukaryota; Metazoa; Chordata; Mammalia; Primates; Hylobatidae. The record is from Rfam by way of RNAcentral.